This 2025-nucleotide long non-coding RNA is filed under the name Salmo salar (Atlantic salmon). Its description in RNAcentral is "lncRNA (ENSSSAG00000106251.1)". Lineage: Eukaryota; Metazoa; Chordata; Actinopteri; Salmoniformes; Salmonidae. The record is from RNAcentral.
AAUUUACGAAGCAGGUUAAGAGAAUGAACGUAGCAGCUUAGGAUAAUUGUGUUAAGGUUAUGACAAGAGUUAUGGUUAGGGUUAGCUAAAAUGCAAAAUAAAUCAACUUUUGAUGUUAAUUUGACCAAAGCUGGAUACCUUCUAGUCUUGACCGGGUAACCACGGCAGAAAAAGAGCGGAGUGACUCGAUGUUGUUUUAGGUUUGUAUCUGGUAAAUUUGUGAAUUUAUUAGGCAUAGCUAUCGUGCUUUCUGUCUCUCUGCGGAAGUUUGUUAUUUAGAUGAUUAGAUGGUUCCUCAUCCUGAAAGUAGUCUAUGGUAGAAAACCGAAUCCAUGGUUCGUUUUUUUUUCCGCCAACAUCCGCUAACUUUACCCACAGCUAGCUAGCUAACAGUCAAUGGAAGUGAUAUCAACCGUGCAAUGUAAUUAAUUUUUCUCUCAAAAUAAUAUUUAAGUAACUUCAAACCAAAUAAUUGAGUUAUUUUGGCCCUGAUAGCGUUCAACUUUGAGAUCCCCCGAUAAUUUGCAUUCUGCUUUGUUUCUCAAUUGAAAAGUGCACAUCUUGUGUGCCUAUCAACAAUGAGAAGGGCUUCUUUAUCUAACAUCUUUACAAAGAUGUGUGUAGAUUUAGUUUUGUGUGUUUGUGUGCUUCUUUGGUGAUACGUCUCAGGAUAAGACGAUAACAUGGAGUCCAUUGAUUUGGAGAGGGGGGGCCCUUCUUGCUCUCUAUCUGGAUAUGCCAAUGGAGAGAUAAUGACCCUGGAGAUCUCAGAUGUCUCUCCAGACUUGCUUGUUCUCGAGGUAAAAGACAACAACCUACCUGAAAGUAACCAUGGCAGCCUAGACACGGAGAUGGAUGCUGACUUUUAUAAUGAUGAUGGGCAUGGUUUUGCGAAUGUGGAACUCCAGUUCUUUCCAUGUGAUGCCUGCGAAGCCUCCUUCACUAGCGAACCAGAGCUGGAGCAGCACUUCAUAAGCUCUCAUUCAAUAUGUGAUAUAGCAAGUGAGAGAGCAAGACCGAAAGCCAAGUCAAUGGAAAAAGAAGGUGUCUCACCCCUGCACACCUGCAUGACUUGUGGGAAGGUGUUCAAAUACCUAACUUCAUUUCGAAAACAUGAGGAAACUCAUAUCAAAGCCCUGUACACCUGCAAGACUUGUGGGAAGGAGUUUAAAUACCUAACUUCAUUCACAAAGCACCAGGCCACUCACAUUGUACCAAGACUGAGAGGAAAUCGAAAGUCAAUCAUAACAGUAGGCUUAAAUGUCAAUCAGAAAGUGAAAGGCCUUCACACCUGCAGGCACUGUGGUAAGGGGUUCAAAUACCUAACUUCUUUCAUAAAGCAUGAGAAGACUCACAGGAUAACCAAAAAAAGCAGAAAAAAACAGAGGAACCCUUCAAGUUCUGAGAUUAUUGUACGUCUUGAAGGCAAUAGGAAAGAUGCCACAGAAACUUGUGUAAGGGCCAUCAAGAAAAACAGGAAGAACAGCGACGAUACUGAGGAUCAGGAUGCAUGUAUUCUAAUAUCUUCUGAUGAUGAACUACCCAACACUGCAGAGCAGCAAAUGCCUGACUCUAAAUGUUCUCCUCCUUUCCCUUCUAACUCUAACCGUUCUCCUCCUUUUCCUUCUGACUCUAACCGUUCUCCUCCUUUUCCUUCUGACUCUAACCGUUCUCCUCCUUUUCCUUCUGACUCUAACCGUUCUCCUCCUUUUCCUUCUGACUCUAACCGUUCUCCUCCUUUUCUUUCUGACUCUAACCGUUCUUUUCCUUCUGACUCUAACCGUUCUCCUCCUUUUCCUUCUGACUCUAACCGUUCUCCUCCUUUUCCUUCUGACUCUAACCGUUCUCCUCCUUUUCCUUCUGACUCUAACCGUUCUCCUCCUUUUCCUUCUGACUCUAACCGUUCUCCUCCUUUUCCUUCUGACUCUAACCGUUCUCCUCCUUUUCCUUCUGACUCUAACCGUUCUCCUCCUUUUCCUUCUGACUCUAACCGUUCUCCUCCUUUUCCUUCUGACUCUAACCGUU